GACGAACGCUGGCGGCGUGCUUAACACAUGCAAGUCGAACGGUGAAGCGCCUUCCUUUUUGGUGGGUGUGGAUGAGUGGCGAACGGGGGAGUAACACGUGAGUAACCUGCCCCCUUCUUCUGGAUAACCGCAUGAAAGUGUGGCUAAUACGGGAUAUUCUGGGUCUGUCGCAUGAUGGGUCUGGGACAGAUUUUGUUUCGGUGGUGGAUGGGCUCGCGGCCUAUCAGCUUGUUGGUGUGGUGAUGGCUUACCAAGGCGGUGACGGGUAGCCGGCCUGAGAGGGUCGACGGUCACACUGGGGCGGCGACAUGGCCCAGACUCCGGCGGGAGGCAGUAGUGGGGAAUACUGCACAAGGGGAGGAAGCAUGAUGCAGCGACGCCGCGGGAGGGAUGGAGUCCGUCGCGUUGUGAACCUCUUUCGCGAGUGAAGCAGGCCUGCCUCGUUUGUGGGUGGGUUGACGGUAGCUGGAUAAGAAGCGCCGGCUAACUACGUG
RNAcentral lists this ribosomal RNA (494 nucleotides) under uncultured bacterium. Its description in RNAcentral is "partial 16S ribosomal RNA". It matches the Rfam family "Bacterial small subunit ribosomal RNA", at positions 28 to 507 of the family's 1533-position model. The record is from RNAcentral.